UCAGUCUCGUGCUUAGCAUGGCAGGGGUCACAAAGAUGACUGGUCAAGACACAUGCUUUGCCUUCAAAGAAGUUGCAGGAUAACAAGGGCCAUGGGAAAUUUUUAAAUGUCCUGGGAGAAGAUCAGCUAAAAUGCUAUGGUUCCCAGUGGGCUGAGCAUCUCUUCAUGUGCUCAGAGGCCAUCAACCUUCCGCUUUCAAAAAGGGCCUGUUGUGCUGAUCUCGUCCAGUGAACUAUUUUGGCUUCCCCAUUGGAUGUAAUGGUCUCUAAGAACUAAAACUGACUCUAAAUGUCACUGAUGUUGAAGCUUUAUCCCAAAUGAAGUUCACUUUGGGUGAUACAGAAUACAAAGAGCUUUGGACAAAACUGAAAUGGGUUGGUUAACCCUUUCUUGUGUAUCCCUUUUUCUUCCUUUUGGACACUUCACAUACACAUCUACACAACCCAGGUCAUUGCUGGGAACUUUAUGGUUUGCUCAUAAAAAUUCUACCACAAUUUACUGAGAGAGAGUUUCCAAUCUUUGUUGUCUUACUUAGUCCUUACGGAAACCUCACGGAUGCGAUGCACAAUGUCUUUAAGCAGGAUGUACAAGGUCAGACAAUAAGUUCUCCAACUCCUCCUAGAAUAAGUGCUAUAUACCUCAUUGCCGAAAACAUGUUUCGCCAUGGUCAUCUUCAAAGUCCUGCCCUUAGCCAUCUGGUCACUGCCGUAGGAUAUUCAGCGAUCAUAGGUAUUUAAGUGGAGGCAUUAGCAUCCAAGCCUAGUGUUUUUCACAGGGUGGGGUGCACAGAAUGCUUUUGGGUGGUACCGCAGAACAUCAACUAAAGUUGCAUCAUAUGGUGAUAAAAUCUCAUUUCAAAUCUCUUUCAGUCUCUCAAAUUAUCUCAAAGAAAAGGUCUCCAUUUGAUGUUAACCAGCUUUUAACUCCUCUACGACACCGUCUUUAACAUUUUUUUCUUUUUUUGCAGACAGAGUAUCACUAUGUCGCCCUGGGUAGAGUGCUGUGGCAUCACAGCUCACAGCAACCUCAAACUCUUGGGCUUACGUGAUUCUCUUGCCUCAGCCUCCCAAGUAGCUGGAACUACAGGCACCUGUCAGAAUGCUCGGCUGUUUUUUUGUUGUGGUUGUCAUUGUUUAGCAGGCCCGGCUGGGUUCCUGUGUAUGUUGUCGAUGCCCUAACCACUGAGCUACAGGUGCCAAGCCCAUAUUUAACAUUCUUAACCAGAAGACCAU
This is a long non-coding RNA of Nycticebus coucang (slow loris), 1232 nucleotides long. RefSeq lists it as uncharacterized. The transcript has 3 exons. The record is from RefSeq and is a predicted model, not a curated record. Lineage: Eukaryota; Metazoa; Chordata; Mammalia; Primates; Lorisidae.